Gorilla gorilla gorilla (western lowland gorilla) is the source of this 1736-nucleotide long non-coding RNA. RefSeq lists it as uncharacterized. The record is from RefSeq and is a predicted model, not a curated record. The transcript is spliced from 7 exons. NCBI's taxonomy places the organism in Eukaryota, Metazoa, Chordata, Mammalia, Primates, Hominidae.
CCCGGGGCCCAGGGUUAGGGUUUUAGGGUCAGGGCCCGGGGCCCAGGGUUAGGGUGAUUUCCAGGAAGUGACCUCACAACGACUCAAGCUACCACUUACUGUUGAUUGUGAUGAAAUGCCAGCUGAGGCACACGCCUUGGGAGCUAAGUGGUUGCUGCACUUGACCACUAUGAAGACUGGUGUGGGAAGGGUCGCUUUGGAUGCACUUGAGCAGGGGUCCCCAACCCCUGAGCCAUGGAGCCGUAAGGAGCCACACAGCAGGUGGGACCAUCCAGUUUCAGGAAAACAAGCUUAACACGCCCACUGAAUCUACAUUAUGCUCCUACCUCCCGGCAGCCUCGCCAGGCCCAGAACUCUCUCCAGUCAGCCUCUACAGACCAAGCUCAUGACUCACAAUGGCCUAUUUAGGCCCAUACCCUACCUCACGGCAGUCUCCGCAGAUGAGCCUACUGCCUCACAACAGCCUCCACAGGCACAGCUCCAUCGUUACAAUGGCCUCUUUAGACCCAGCUCCUGCCGCCCAGCCUUCUCUCCAGGCCCUGAACUUUCUCCGUGGGACCAUCCAGUUUCAGGAAAACAAGCUUAACACGCCCACUGAAUCUACAUUAUGCUCCUACCUCCCGGCAGCCUCGCCAGGCCCAGAACUCUCUCCAGUCAGCCUCUACAGACCAAGCUCAUGACUCACAAUGGCCUAUUUAGGCCCAUACCCUACCUCACGGCAGUCUCCGCAGAUGAGCCUACUGCCUCACAACAGCCUCCACAGGCACAGCUCCAUCGUUACAAUGGCCUCUUUAGACCCAGCUCCUGCCGCCCAGCCUUCUCUCCAGGCCCUGAACUUUCUCCGUGGGACCAUCCAGUUUCAGGAAAACAAGCUUAACACGCCCACUGAUUCUACAUUAUGCUCCUACCUCCCGGCAGCCUCGCCAGGCCCAGAACUCUCUCCAGUCAGCCUCUACAGACCAAGCUCAUGACUCACAAUGGCCUAUUUAGGCCCAUACCCUACCUCACGGCAGUCUCCGCAGAUGAGCCUACUGCCUCACAACAGCCUCCACAGGCACAGCUCCAUCGUUACAAUGGCCUCUUUAGACCCAGCUCCUGCCGCCCAGCCUUCUCUCCAGGCCCUGAACUUUCUCCGUAAGUUGAGGUAGCUGGGACUGUAGGUAUACAUGAUGAUACUUGGCUAAUUUUUAAAUUGUUUUGCAGACAUGGGGUCUCACUUUGUUGGCCAGGCUGCUGUCAAACUAAUGGCCUCAAGUGACCCUUCCACCCCUGCCUCCCAUCCUCGAGGUAUGUGCCACCACAAGGAGCACUUGUUCAAUUUUCUAAAGAAAAAAUUUCUAAAGUAAGGCUGUGGAUGAUGGCAGGAAGAUAAAAGAAAAACAGAAGAAUAAGUUAAAAUGACUUAUUCACACAUAUUCUUUUGACAGCAAGAAGAACUGUUAGUAUAUACAUUCCUUACAAACAAACAAACGGCAGAUAAACAAUGUUGUAUAGGAACUUCAACACACACUGUACAAUAUUCCCACUUUGCUGACAUAAGUUAUGGAAAUUUCGUGGUUUACUUGAGUGUCGCUACCAGUAUUUUGCUCCUCUGAUGAUUUUUAUCAACUUCCUCAUCUGUUAAUUUCUCUCCAAAGUAUGUCAUGUCACGACAUACUGCCGCUGCACGAACACAGCCAGUGUCUUCCUAUUAAACAUGUAGAAUGCUUUCCUAAUUUCUCCUUUUACUCUCUGUG